UACGUAGGGGGCGAGCGUUGUCCGAAGUUACUGGGCGUAAAGAGCGCGUAGGCGGGCUCUUAAGUGAGGGGUGAAAGGUUCGGGCUCAACCCGGACAGUGCCUUUCAUACUGGGAGCCUUGAGUGCGGGAGAGGCAAGUGGAAUGGUCGGUGUAGCGGUGAAAUGCGUAGAUAUCGAUCGGAACACCCGUGGCGAAGGCGGCUUGUUGGCUCGCAACUGACGCUGAGGCGCGAAAGCGUGGGGAGCAAACAGG
This 253-nucleotide ribosomal RNA is filed under the name uncultured bacterium. RNAcentral's name for it is "partial 16S ribosomal RNA". It matches the Rfam family "Bacterial small subunit ribosomal RNA", at positions 524 to 776 of the family's 1533-position model. The record is from RNAcentral.